AUCAUUCUUCUAUAGAAAGUUGUUGUUUUUUUUUCCCUAAUAACGUGUUUAUCACGCAGUCCUGCACAUUCACCCAUCCACACACACACAGAGCUCUUUAUACAGAGAAAAUCAGGCUGGCGCUGCAAAAGUGCAGAGAAGAUCUUUCGCUAAAAUGCUCUCAAGCAAACAGAGACAGCUAACCUGGAAGUUGGAAUGCCCAGUGUCUUCUCCAAAAUUAUCCAGACUGCUUUUGUUUGCAGAAGUCAGACUGUGCAAGCUGUUGGUGUGUGGCUUGUCCCGGUAAGUUAAGGAGAACAAUCUACUUGAGAGGUUUCCAAUUAUUCUUACUUCUGGUCAGGUUAGAUACACAAUUAGAUUGGAUCCCUGACAGGUUUUUGGCUCUUCCAGUUUCAAACCAAGCCUUUAUUAGUCCAAGAGCAUGCAGAUGGAAGUGAUUUAUUUUCUGUUAGCUGUUACAUGAAUUUGAUUGUCAACAAAACCUUUCUCAGCUUUCAGUGAGGUUUGGAGUCAGGCUUUGUAUCUGAGGUGGGCUGUCCACCUCAGCCAGAGUUCAAUUUGGCAGAGUCAGCUCAGCUGAUCAAAGCUCACAGAAUUUAACAUCAAAUAAUCCACACAAAGCUCUGAGACUCCACAUGUCACGGGAGAGGGACGUAUGGGCAGAGGUGACUCCUGGGAUCCCUCCUGCCUGUGGUUUCCUCUUCUGCCACCGUGCUGCCAGCUCUUCUCCAAAUAUCCCCAUUCCACUGGGCCUUGUCCUUUACUUUGUUGGCAAAUAAGGUAAAUGACCCCUGUUCUGGCUGCCCAUAUGCUGCUAACAUCACUGGUUUUGUUUCAGCAAACGGCAUGAGGAUGGCAUAGACAGAUGCCAAAAGUGAGGGCCCCCAUCAGCCCAGCAGCCCUGCUGUGAACCACCAAAGUGCCAGGAAUUGGAUAAAAGAAGGCACGAGGAACGGUGUGAGAAGCAGGGCUGCAGCUUUGCAGACGCCUUUGCAGAUGCGCAGACAGACGCGCUGCAUUGGGAGCAGCUCCUGGCAGGCUGCAAUGCUGCUGUCAAAACAGUGCUCAUUAGAAGAGCAGCUUAUUCUGGAGGGAAAACCUGCAGCAUGCAGAACAAAUAUCCUUGCUUGACGAGAACUGAGACCUUGCACUCUCAUUUCCUCUUGCAGAAGCGCUUAACAUAACCAGAAGGGCCCCUGCCAGGGAAGGCAGGUGUCUUUGCAUUUGGUUGUUUCUAGGGGUCAGAUUGCCUCAGCUCUUUCACUGUU
This 1268-nucleotide long non-coding RNA is filed under the name Cyanistes caeruleus (blue tit). Its description in RNAcentral is "lncRNA (ENSCCEG00000009073.1)". Lineage: Eukaryota; Metazoa; Chordata; Aves; Passeriformes; Paridae. The record is from RNAcentral.